UCAAAAACAUGUCUUUUUGAAAUUAAUUUAAAGUCGAAUCUGCCCACUGAUAAUUAUUAAAGGGCUGCAGUAUAUUGACUGUACAAAGGUAGCAUAAUCAUUAGUCUUUUAAUUGAAGACUUGUAUGAAAGAUUUGAUGAGGUAUAAGCUGUCUCUAAUUUAUGUAUAAAAAUUAAUUUUUUAAUUAAAAAGUUAAAAUAAAAUUAAAAGACGAGAAGACCCUAUAAAGUUUUAUAAUUUAUUUUUUUAUUUUUAAUUAUAAAAAUAAACAUAAUAAUUAAUGUAAAUUAUUAUAUUGGGGUGAUAAAAAAAUUAAAUAAACUUUUUUUUAAAAAAAAAAAUACAUUUAUAAAUGAAAAAUUGAUCCAUUAUUAAUGAUUAAAAGAAAAAAUUACUUUAGGGAUAACAGCGUAAUAUUUUUUUUUAGUUCAAAUAAAAAAAAAAGUUUGCGACCUCGAUGUUGGAUUAAGAUAAAAUUUAAAUGCAAAAGUUUAAAAUUUUGAUCUGUUCGAUCAUUAAAAUCUUACAUGAUCUGAGCU
RNAcentral lists this ribosomal RNA (539 nucleotides) under Eresia pelonia. Its description in RNAcentral is "partial 16S ribosomal RNA". The stretch from base 402 to 539 matches the Rfam family "Archaeal large subunit ribosomal RNA", at positions 2542 to 2680 of the family's 2987-position model. The record is from RNAcentral. Lineage: Eukaryota; Metazoa; Arthropoda; Insecta; Lepidoptera; Nymphalidae.